CCAUACAGUACUCUAACACGGAUGACGCUGGAAAACAUGACUCUGAGUGGAUACAGUCACAAAAGACCACAUGUUGUAUAAUAUAUGAUUCUAUUUACAUAAGCUGUCCAAAAUAGGCAAAUCUAUAGGCACAGAAAUUAGAUUUGUGGUAGCUGGUAGUAGAUUAGGGGUUGAGGAUAAUGAGGAGUGGCUAGCCUUUUCUUAAUGAAAUAGAACAGAAUAGAACAUAUCUUAACAUCUCAGCUCAGGUACCAUUUCCUCAGGAAGUUUUCCCUUAGUAGGUCAAGUCCGACUGUCUUGGAGUCUUUUGUAGCAACAAGCACAGCUGAAAGUUUGCAUUUAUUUGCCUGUUGUUUGGAUGAGUGUUGGGAUCCCAGGAUGUGGGUACAAAUCCUGCUUCUCCUAGCACGGUGUCUGGCACAGGGCCGAUGGUUUGUAAAUGUGUGUCUAAAGAAGGAAGUUGGUAAGUCAGGGGCCAAAGUUCUAAAUGAACAGAACAGAGUAACCUAGGGGGAAAGGAAUAAAAUAGACGAUGCACAUGAGGUCUGUAAAAUAAAGUUCUCUAAGACAGUGUUUGUUCAACUGGGGGUUACAGCACAUUAGUGAGUUUGUGAAAGGGAAAUACUAAGUUGUGGCCCAUGUUUCUAAAAAAUGAAAUAGAAUAGAAAAUAUCAGUAUUUUUUACAUACCAUGACACUUUUGUUUUAUUUAUAUCCAUAUAGAAGCAUAUGUGUAUCAUGUCAAGAUUUACUGUGAGUUUUAAUUUAAAACAUUUAAGAGACGCUUCUGUACUCCCUG
Molecule: long non-coding RNA, 798 nt
Filed under: Capra hircus (goat)
Lineage: Eukaryota; Metazoa; Chordata; Mammalia; Artiodactyla; Bovidae
Description: lncRNA (ENSCHIG00010023031.1)
Source: RNAcentral